UGGUGUGGUUGUUGCUGGCCCUCUUGGGGGCAUGUGCACACCUACCAUCCUCAUCUCUCCACCUGUGCACCUCUUGUAGAUUUGGAAUUGAUUAUCCGAGGCAACUCGGUCGUGAGGACUGCUAGCACCUAGCUGGCUUUCUUUGCAAUUCCAGGUCUAUGUUUUUCAUAUACCCCAUUGUAUGUAACAGAAUGUAUCAUUGGGCCCUUGUGCCUAUAAACCUUAUACAACUUUCAGCAACGGAUCUCUUGGCUCUCGCAUCGAUGAAGAACGCAGCGAAAUGCGAUAAGUAAUGUGAAUUGCAGAAUUCAGUGAAUCAUCGAAUCUUUGAACGCACCUUGCGCUCCUUGGUAUUCCGAGGAGCAUGCCUGUUUGAGUGUCAUUAAAUUCUCAACUGUUAUCAACUUUUGCUGAUAAUGGCUUGGAUGUGGGGGUCUAUUUUGCUGGCUUCUUCUCAGAUAGUCAGCUCCCCUUAAAUGCAUUAGCUGGUGCCCCGCGUGGACUGUCUAUUGGUGUGAUAAUUAUCUACGCUAUGGACAUCUGCAAUCAUAUGGGUUUGCGCUGCUUCUAACAGUCUGUUGAUUCAGACAAUACAUGACAAUUUGACCUCAAAUCAGGUAGGACUACCCGCUGAACUUAAGCAUAUCAAUA
RNAcentral lists this ribosomal RNA (651 nucleotides) under uncultured Hebeloma. RNAcentral describes it as "eukaryotic LSU rRNA". The stretch from base 229 to 382 matches the Rfam family "5.8S ribosomal RNA". The record is from RNAcentral. Lineage: Eukaryota; Fungi; Basidiomycota; Agaricomycetes; Agaricales; Cortinariaceae.